This 543-nucleotide ribosomal RNA is filed under the name uncultured archaeon. RNAcentral describes it as "bacterial SSU rRNA". It matches the Rfam family "Archaeal small subunit ribosomal RNA", at positions 336 to 879 of the family's 1478-position model. The record is from RNAcentral.
CAGGCGCGAAAACUCUACAAUGCAGGCAACUGCGAUAGGGGAACAUCGAGUGAUACUCAUCUUGGGUGUCUGUCCUCCCGUCUAAAAAACGGGAGUUAGCAAGGGCCGGGCAAGACCGGUGCCAGCCGCCGCGGUAAUACCGGCGGCUCGAGUGGUGGCCGAUAUUAUUGAGUCUAAAGGGUCCGUAGCCGGCUUUGCAAGUCUUUUGGGAAAUCCAGCGGCUUAACCGUUGGUCGUCCGGGAGAUACUACAUUGCUUGGGACUGGGAGAGGUAGGAGGUACUCAGGGGGUAGGAGUGAAAUCCUGUAAUCCUUUGGGGACCACCGGUGGCGAAGGCGUCCUACCAGAACAGGUCCGACGGUGAGGGACGAAAGCUAGGGGCACGAACCGGAUUAGAUACCCGGGUAGUCCUAGCCGUAAACGAUGCUCGCUAGGUGUCACAACAAUCGUGAAUUGUUGUGGUGCCGUAGGGAAGCCGUGAAGCGAGCCACUUGGGAAGUACGACCGCAAGGUUGAAACUUAAAGGAAUUGGCGGGGGAGCAC